CGGACUGGAAAUCUGAAGGCUCCGGGUUCGACUCCCG
Molecule: transfer RNA, 37 nt
Filed under: Pelagomonas calceolata
Lineage: Eukaryota; Pelagophyceae; Pelagomonadales; Pelagomonadaceae
Description: partial tRNA
Source: RNAcentral